Molecule: ribosomal RNA, 425 nt
Filed under: uncultured bacterium
Lineage: Bacteria
Description: bacterial SSU rRNA
Rfam family: Bacterial small subunit ribosomal RNA
Source: RNAcentral
GUCGGGAAUUUUGCGCAAUGGGCGAAAGCCUGACGCAGCAACGCCGCGUGAGGGAUGAAGGCCUUCGGGUUGUAAACCUCUUUUCUCAGGGACGAUAAUGACGGUACCUGAGGAAUAAGUCACGGCUAACUACGUGCCAGCAGCCGCGGUAAUACGUAGGUGGCAAGCGUUGUCCGGAUUUACUGGGCGUAAAGAGCGCGCAGGCGGUCGAUUUAGUCGAGUGUGAAAGCCCCCGGCUCAACUGGGGAGGGUCACUCGAUACUGAUCGACUCGAAGGCAGGAGAGGGAAGCGGAAUUCCCGGUGUAGUGGUGAAAUGCGUAGAUAUCGGGAGGAACACCAGUGGCGAAGGCGGCUUUCUGGCCUGUUCUUGACGCUGAGGCGCGAAAGCUAGGGUAGCAAACGGGAUUAGAUACCCGGGUAGUCC